Molecule: ribosomal RNA, 518 nt
Filed under: Salmonella enterica subsp. enterica serovar Agbeni
Lineage: Bacteria; Pseudomonadati; Pseudomonadota; Gammaproteobacteria; Enterobacterales; Enterobacteriaceae
Description: partial 23S ribosomal RNA
Rfam family: Bacterial large subunit ribosomal RNA
Source: RNAcentral
AACAUCUAAGUACCCCGAGGAAAAGAAAUCAACCGAGAUUCCCCCAGUAGCGGCGAGCGAACGGGGAGGAGCCCAGAGCCUGAAUCAGCAUGUGUGUUAGUGGAAGCGUCUGGAAAGGCGCGCGAUACAGGGUGACAGCCCCGUACACAAAAGCGCAUGUGCUGUGAGCUCGAUGAGUAGGGCGGGACACGUGGUAUCCUGUCUGAAUAUGGGGGGACCAUCCUCCAAGGCUAAAUACUCCUGACUGACCGAUAGUGAACCAGUACCGUGAGGGAAAGGCGAAAAGAACCCCGGCGAGGGGAGUGAAAAAGAACCUGAAACCGUGUACGUACAAGCAGUGGGAGCCCCACCACUAAGCCAGUGGUGAACUCCACAUACGCAUCCUUUGCUGAGGAUACGGUUAACGGAGCGAAAGCGACGUUCAACCGCAAAAGAAGCAGAGGGGGCUUAGUGGUGGGGUGACUGCGUACCUUUUGUAUAAUGGGUCAGCGACUUAUAUUCUGUAGCAAGGUUAACCG